RNAcentral lists this long non-coding RNA (260 nucleotides) under Brassica napus (rape). Its description in RNAcentral is "long non-coding RNA (BNAP_LNC025351)". The record is from RNAcentral. Lineage: Eukaryota; Viridiplantae; Streptophyta; Magnoliopsida; Brassicales; Brassicaceae.
CUCUCUCUCUCUCUCAUGAGCCCUAUCUCUAUCAUGAUCCCUGUCACGAUCUCUACUCCUAUCACGGUCCCAAUCCCUGCCAUAGUAACGAUCAUGCUCAUAAUCCCGACGAUCGCAAUCCCAUUCCCUGUCUCGCUCAUAGUCACGAUCACGAUCCCGAGCUAACGCUCUUCUACAAAUCCUGGCUCUCAUUGGUGAUCAGAGAGAUGUUCUUGAUUGAUCACUUGACCUUUCUGUUCAAGAAAGAUACACGACGUUUA